GGUCGUGUAGUGUAGCGGUCCAUCACUCCAGAUUUUGAUGAAAUGCCACUCCUGUACAACGGCGUGAUCGUUCUGGUAACCCCGGUUCGAACCCGGGCACGACCU
Mycena galericulata is the source of this 105-nucleotide non-coding RNA. The record is from the annotation of a GenBank genome assembly. NCBI's taxonomy places the organism in Eukaryota, Fungi, Basidiomycota, Agaricomycetes, Agaricales, Mycenaceae.